Carcharodon carcharias (great white shark) is the source of this 357-nucleotide long non-coding RNA. RefSeq lists it as uncharacterized. NCBI's taxonomy places the organism in Eukaryota, Metazoa, Chordata, Chondrichthyes, Lamniformes, Lamnidae. The transcript has 2 exons. The record is from RefSeq and is a predicted model, not a curated record.
UAAUACUGGAUGUUCUGGUACGGAGUCCUUUAGUAGAGGUUGCACUGUAACAAGUCUUUGAACAUGGGCUCCAUUCGGACCAUUCUGAGGUUUGACAGUCCUUUGGAACUACACAGGACUGGAAGGAAUAUGGAGGACAGGAGAGCAGCUGAAACAUCUAGGAAAGAUUGCAGGCAAAUCCAAAUGGUGAACAUAUUCUUCACCAUCAGCACAUGUACGGAUCAUCGCUGGCCGGCUUGAAGGCUCAGUUUUCAAAGUCCAUGAGGACCUUGAUUUCAGGCAUUCCUCCACCAGUCUGCGACCUCCCCCUCUUGUUGUGGGCCAGCACAAAUACAGAUUAAAUACACAUCUUUCUGA